UCCUGCGUGACUGAGUUAGUAAAAGUGCAAGCGCAAGCCUUUGGACAUAGGUUCGAAUCCUAUCGCAGGUU
Molecule: transfer RNA, 71 nt
Filed under: Xylariaceae sp. FL0016
Lineage: Eukaryota; Fungi; Ascomycota; Sordariomycetes; Xylariales; Xylariaceae
Description: tRNA-OTHER
Rfam family: tRNA
About the family: Transfer RNA (tRNA) molecules are approximately 80 nucleotides in length. Their secondary structure includes four short double-helical elements and three loops (D, anti-codon, and T loops). Further hydrogen bonds mediate the characteristic L-shaped molecular structure. tRNAs have two regions of fundamental functional importance: the anti-codon, which is responsible for specific mRNA codon recognition, and the 3' end, to which the tRNAs corresponding amino acid is attached (by aminoacyl-tRNA synthetases). tRNAs cope with the degeneracy of the genetic code in two manners: having more than one tRNA (with a specific anti-codon) for a particular amino acid; and 'wobble' base-pairing, i.e. permitting non-standard base-pairing at the 3rd anti-codon position.
Source: RNAcentral